GACUACUAGGGUAUCUAAUCCUGUUUGCUCCCCACGCUUUCGCGCAUCAGCGUCAGUUGUCGUCCAGCAGGCCGCCUUCGCCACUGGUGUUCCUCCUAAUAUCUACGCAUUUCACCGCUACACUAGGAAUUCCGCCUGCCUCUCCGAUACUCAAGAACAGCAGUUUCAAAUGCAGUGCCGAGGUUAAGCCCCGGCAUUUCACAUCUGACUUGCCAUCCCGCCUACGCGCCCUUUACACCCAGUAAAUCCGGACAACGCUUGCCACCUACGUAUUACCGCGGCUGCUGGCACGUAGUUAGCCGUGGCUUGUUUUCCAGGUACCGUCAUUUGUUUCGUCCCUGGUCAAAGAAGUUUACAACCCGAAAGCCUUCUUCCUUCACGCGGCGUUGCUGGGUCAGGGUUUCCCCCAUUGCCCAAUAUUCCCCACUGCAGCCCCCCGUAGG
Molecule: ribosomal RNA, 443 nt
Filed under: uncultured Sporobacter sp.
Lineage: Bacteria; Bacillati; Bacillota; Clostridia; Eubacteriales; Oscillospiraceae
Description: partial 16S ribosomal RNA
Source: RNAcentral